AUUAAAACAAAAAGAAACAUUAAGGUGUAAGGUGUUUCUUCCCAACAGGUUGGAUGAAGUUUAAUGUGUUGAACAUCAACAGCGAUAAAAGUUGUACAUAUUUAUAUUCCACAGGCUCAUCAUUUAACGUCCAUUCAACUGAAGCUGAACAUAAGGGACGCCGGAUUAAGAGCCAUUUCAGGCAGAUUAUGUCGCCUGGAUUAUGUCGUAUCCCUGAGCACAUCCAUCUGCUCUGGGGUCUGAUCCUGCCCACAGCACCCUGGGUGGAGAGCCGCUUUGAGGGAUGGAGUGACUCCACCAAUCACCCACAGAGAUUAUCUGUCCACGCCCAAACUGAGCCCUCUGGUGGCCUACAUAUGGAAACACAACGGUGGUUUAAAAACAGGUUUCUCAAACAUUAUUCACACUUUUCCUGAGUAAAAACUCUAAUCUCAGUCUUGUUUUUCAACUGUAAUUACAAAACUGUAGAUAUUUGUGUACAUUAUCUACAAUGAUUAAAACAAUUAAUUGUGA
This is a long non-coding RNA of Poecilia latipinna (sailfin molly), 513 nucleotides long. RefSeq lists it as uncharacterized. The transcript has 2 exons. NCBI's taxonomy places the organism in Eukaryota, Metazoa, Chordata, Actinopteri, Cyprinodontiformes, Poeciliidae. The record is from RefSeq and is a predicted model, not a curated record.